CAUUGACGUGCUGGGCUGUUGGGAGGUAAGAUCGAUACUCGCUUCUCAAAGUGGAUCAUGUACAUGGAUGGCCUUUUGUUUUUGGGAUGAUCUGGUAACACCAGGAAGACGCACCUUCCAGACAUCAAUCAAUUCGGAUGGAGCUUGAUGUGCAGCCAACCCUAGAUACAGUGAUCGUCCUGUUACCUGUAUCCGGAGUCACCGACGUUAAGCAGAAAUGACCCAGUGCUGUAUUUCCGACGUGGUUAACAACUCAACUCGCGGCCUAUUAAGCACGCGUGGAAGUGGUUCGCAAGUGUUGUGUGUUAGGGUCAAGGGGAGACUUCUGGCUGUUGGAUAAAAGCUUCCAAAGUCGAUACAUUUGUGCUUAGUGCAAAUGACAGUGUUGAUUAUAGCGGAAUACAUUCACCAGACGGUCCAUGGUUGCCAAUACACUACAUGAAGACGAAUAAAUCAAGUGCAGCGAUAGACAUUCAAACAAAACCAAGUCUUUGUACGAGCGAGUGACGUUUGUGUUGCAACAAUUCUACCAGAUUAGGACCAGAGAAUUGGAAACUUAUGUCAAUACACUGAAGAGCCUACCGUGAUGAGGUGCUCUCGUUUGUUAAGGAACAACCAUUUGCAUUUCAGCUCUACUGGAACAAUAAUGGUAUCGAUUGGUAUCCUUAAAACGUGUUUGAAGUAUGCGCUUGAGAAAAUAGCUCAAGACGGUGUUUUGUAAAACCUUUUUGUAGUCGUCCUGAAAACAGCUAACGCACGACUUGCCAUUGAACUUCUUCUACCUCAUCUUCUAGUACGGAACAUAGUACUUCCUUGUCCGGAAUAAACACGUGAUCAGUUACUGAUAAUUCA
This is a long non-coding RNA of Haliotis rubra (blacklip abalone), 852 nucleotides long. RefSeq lists it as uncharacterized. The transcript is spliced from 2 exons. NCBI's taxonomy places the organism in Eukaryota, Metazoa, Mollusca, Gastropoda, Lepetellida, Haliotidae. The record is from RefSeq and is a predicted model, not a curated record.